UACGGGGGGGGCAAGCGUUGUUCGGAAUUACUGGGCGUAAAGCGCGCGUAGGCGGCUUUUCAAGUCGAGUGUGAAAGCCCCAGGCUUAACCUGGGAAUUGCGCUCGAUACUGUUGAGCUAGAGUGUGGAAGGGGCUACUGGAAUUCCCGGUGUAGUGGUGAAAUGCGUAGAUAUCGGGAGGAACACCAGUGGCGAAGGCGACUACCUGGCCCAUUCUUGACGCUGAGGCGCGAAAGCUAGGGGAGCGAACGGG
RNAcentral lists this ribosomal RNA (253 nucleotides) under uncultured bacterium. Its description in RNAcentral is "partial 16S ribosomal RNA". It matches the Rfam family "Bacterial small subunit ribosomal RNA", at positions 524 to 776 of the family's 1533-position model. The record is from RNAcentral.